UCUAUUAGAAUUUUGAAAAAACUUCCCUUAAAAUCCUUGUACGACGACGUAAAAGGCUUAAGAAAACACACGUUGGAUUUGCUAAUAAGGGAUAGCCACCCCGACCGUUUACCAGGCCGAGAACUAUAAUAGUAUAGAAAAGCAGAGGGACUAGGAGAAAGUGACAAUAAUUUACACAAAAUACUGAAUGCUUGCAUCGCAGCCCAACCAUUAGGAUGAAGCUGAGUAGGAGCAACAUUAAGGAAAUUAAGAACGCCCAUUUGAAAAUUGUUCAAAGGCAAUCGAAUAUGAAGAUCUCUGAAAAAGCAAGCAUAAAAAUAAAAAAAUUCAUAGCUAUCACCUUCUCGGCCAUGACACACAUUAUCAACAUCUCCAACACGCCGAAAUGAAAUGAUAUCAUUUUCAAUAUCAGAAUAAUAAAUUUGAGAAUGGGAAAGAAAACUCCGAAGUUCGUUAGCAGAACGAUACUUCGAGAAA
RNAcentral lists this long non-coding RNA (477 nucleotides) under Phaseolus vulgaris (common bean). Its description in RNAcentral is "long non-coding RNA (PVUL_LNC003492)". Lineage: Eukaryota; Viridiplantae; Streptophyta; Magnoliopsida; Fabales; Fabaceae. The record is from RNAcentral.